CCGCCACUGACUGAGACGGUCCAUUGUCAGGGAGCACAUACGUACUAGCAGAACUAUAGACAUCUGAUCCGGGGAGCUAGAGACUGUAUUUCGUUUGGCAAUAAACCUGGGCGGGUGCCUUUGUACCUUAUCAGAGACUGUGGUCUUUGGCAGUUCACUUGGGGUCUGAUGUGUCAGCUAUCUGCGCAGAGCCGGGGCAGCACACAGGGGGAACACACGUACAUAGCCGACUGUUAUCAUCAUUGAACAGAGCAGAGCACCACACCGGUGAUGUCUGACAACACUGGUGGCCCCAACGGCUGAUCUGUUAUAGGUUUUACAGAAACCUCCAAAAGAUAAAGCAAUUGAAAACAGAACAAAACAAGAAA
This is a long non-coding RNA of Trachemys scripta elegans, 368 nucleotides long. RefSeq lists it as uncharacterized. The record is from RefSeq and is a predicted model, not a curated record. NCBI's taxonomy places the organism in Eukaryota, Metazoa, Chordata, Testudines, Emydidae. The transcript has 2 exons.